RNAcentral lists this ribosomal RNA (327 nucleotides) under Cladosporium sp. A61P16. Its description in RNAcentral is "SSU rRNA". It matches the Rfam family "Eukaryotic small subunit ribosomal RNA", at positions 598 to 931 of the family's 1831-position model. The record is from RNAcentral. Lineage: Eukaryota; Fungi; Ascomycota; Dothideomycetes; Cladosporiales; Cladosporiaceae.
CGUAUAUUAAGUUGUUGCAGUUAAAAAGCUCGUAGUUGAACCUUGGGCCUGGCUGGCCGGUCCGCCUCACCGCGUGUACUGGUCCGGCCGGGCCUUUCCUUCUGGGGAACCUCAUGCCCUUCACUGGGCGUGCUGGGGAACCAGGACUUUUACUUUGAAAAAAUUAGAGUGUUCAAAGCAGGCCUUUGCUCGAAUACAUUAGCAUGGAAUAAUAGAAUAGGACGUGUGGUUCUAUUUUGUUGGUUUCUAGGACCGCCGUAAUGAUUAAUAGGGAUAGUCGGGGGCAUCAGUAUUCAAGCGUCAGAGGUGAAAUUCUUGGAUUGCUUG